This 427-nucleotide ribosomal RNA is filed under the name uncultured beta proteobacterium. RNAcentral describes it as "bacterial SSU rRNA". It matches the Rfam family "Bacterial small subunit ribosomal RNA", at positions 355 to 774 of the family's 1533-position model. Lineage: Bacteria; Pseudomonadati; Pseudomonadota; Betaproteobacteria. The record is from RNAcentral.
UGAGGAAUAUUGGACAAUGGGCGAAAGCCUGAUCCAGCCAUGCCGCGUGAGUGAAGAAGGCCUUCGGGUUGUAAAGCUCUUUUAGUAGGGAAGAAAGGGUGGCAAUGAAUAAUCGUGAUUUAUGACGGUACCGACAGAAAAAGCGCCGGCUAACUACGUGCCAGCAGCCGCGGUAAUACGUAGGGGGCGAGCGUUAAUCGGAAUUACUGGGCGUAAAGGGUGCGCAGGCGGUCUUGCAAGUCAGAUGUGAAAGCCCCGGGCUCAACCUGGGAAUUGCGUUUGAAACUACAAGACUAGAGUGCAGCAGAGGGGAGUGGAAUUCCAUGUGUAGCAGUGAAAUGCGUAGAGAUGUGGAAGAACACCGAUGGCGAAGGCAGCUCCCUGGGUUGACACUGACGCUCAUGCACGAAAGCGUGGGGAGCAAACA